UGCGUAGUCGGUAUUGAGAGUCACGGGUGAAAUCCCAGGGCUUAACCCUGGAACUGCCUGUGAGACCUCAGUACUAGAGUGUGAGAGGGGAUAGUGGAAUACCCAGUGUAGCGGUGAAAUGCGUAGAGAUUGGGUGGAACACCGGUGGCGAAGGCGGCUAUCUGGCUCACAACUGACGAUCAGGCACGAAAGCGUGGGGAGCAAACA
Molecule: ribosomal RNA, 207 nt
Filed under: uncultured Myxococcales bacterium
Lineage: Bacteria; Pseudomonadati; Myxococcota; Myxococcia; Myxococcales
Description: partial 16S ribosomal RNA
Rfam family: Bacterial small subunit ribosomal RNA
Source: RNAcentral